AAGCGUACCGCCGAAGUCGUGUCAAUCCAGCAUGAGGGCUAACGCCUGUUGGGUUGGGUAGGGGAGCGUCGUGUGCCGGGUGAAGCAGCCGCGUAAGCGAGUUGUGGAUGGUUCACGAGUGAGAAUGCAGGCAUGAGUAGCGAUUCACACGUGGGAAACGUGUGCGCCGAUUGACUAAGGGUUCCUGGGUCAAGCUGAUCUGCCCAGGGUAAGUCGGGACCUAAGGCGAGGCCGACAGGCGUAGUCGAUGGACAACCGGUUGAUAUUCCGGUACCCGCUUUGAAGCGUCCAAUACUGAAUCUUCUGAUGCUAAGGCCGUGAAGCCGUCCUGGAGCCUUCGGGCAAAGGGAAGUGGUGGAGCCGCUGACCCUAGGGGGUAGUAGGUAAGUGAUGGGGUGACGCAGGAAGGUAGUCCAGCCCGGGCGGUGGUUGUCCCGGGGUAAGGGUGUAGCCCGUCAUCUAGGUAAAUCCGGAUGGCGCGAAGGGUGAGACCUGAUGCCGAGCCGAUUGUGGUGAAGUGGAUGAUCCUAUGCUGUCGAGAAAAGCCUCUAGCGAGUUUCAUGGCGGCCCGUACCCUAAACCGACUCAGGUGGUCAGGUAGAGAAUACCGAGGCGUUCGGGUGAACUAUGGUUAAGGAACUCGGCAAAAUGCCCCCGUAACUUCGGGAGAAGGGGGGCCAUUUCUGGUGAUGGGCUUUGCGCCUUGAGCUGGGGGUGGCCGCAGAGACCAGCGAGAAGCGACUGUUUACUAAAAACACAGGUCCGUGCGAAGCCGUAAGGCGAUGUAUACGGACUGACGCCUGAAUGGCGUAACGACUUCUCGACUGUCUCAACCAUAGGCCCGGUGAAAUUGCAUUACGAGUAAAGAUGCUCGUUUCGCG
Molecule: ribosomal RNA, 881 nt
Filed under: Burkholderia pseudomallei
Lineage: Bacteria; Pseudomonadati; Pseudomonadota; Betaproteobacteria; Burkholderiales; Burkholderiaceae
Description: partial 23S ribosomal RNA
Rfam family: Bacterial large subunit ribosomal RNA
Source: RNAcentral